This 97-nucleotide ribosomal RNA is filed under the name Pseudomonas oryzihabitans. Lineage: Bacteria; Pseudomonadati; Pseudomonadota; Gammaproteobacteria; Pseudomonadales; Pseudomonadaceae. The record is from RNAcentral. RNAcentral also lists the same sequence under 1 other name.
UGGAACCACCUGAUCCCUUCCCGAACUCAGAAGUGAAACGAUGCAUCGCCGAUGGUAGUGUGGGGCUUCCCCAUGUGAGAGUAGGUCAUCGUCAAGC